UUGGCUGAGUUGAUGUACUCCAGGCUCUUGUGGUCUGUCCAGACUUGGAAUGGUUGCUCAGUGCCCUCCAACCA
This is a long non-coding RNA of Amblyraja radiata (thorny skate), 74 nucleotides long. RefSeq lists it as uncharacterized. NCBI's taxonomy places the organism in Eukaryota, Metazoa, Chordata, Chondrichthyes, Rajiformes, Rajidae. The transcript has 3 exons. The record is from RefSeq and is a predicted model, not a curated record.